AAGAAAGGUAAUUUAUAAACUUAAAAUUUCUUUUUUGCAUAAAGACUAAGGCAUAAUCCCCUUUAAA
RNAcentral lists this transfer RNA (67 nucleotides) under Liposcelis bostrychophila. RNAcentral's name for it is "tRNA-Ala". Lineage: Eukaryota; Metazoa; Arthropoda; Insecta; Psocodea; Liposcelididae. The record is from RNAcentral.